UACGAAGGGGGCGAGCGUUGUUCGGAUUUACUGGGCGUAAAGGGCGCGCAGGCGGCUAUCCAAGUCAGGCGUGAAAGCCCCGGGCUUAACCUGGGAGGUGCGUCUGGGACUGGGUGGCUAGAGUUCGGGAGAGGAGAGUGGAAUUCCCAGUGUAGAGGUGAAAUUCGUAGAUAUUGGGAAGAACACCGGUGGCGAAGGCGGCUCUCUGGACCGAGACUGACGCUGAGGCGCGAAAGCUAGGGGAGCAAACGGG
RNAcentral lists this ribosomal RNA (253 nucleotides) under uncultured bacterium. RNAcentral describes it as "partial 16S ribosomal RNA". It matches the Rfam family "Bacterial small subunit ribosomal RNA", at positions 524 to 776 of the family's 1533-position model. The record is from RNAcentral.